GGCAUCAUACAACGCAUCUACACAACAUUUGCUAAUUCAACUAAAAGGUGGCAGAUCUUGAAAGAUAAUAUAGAUGAUACAACAGGAUUGACUCUCAAGUCGUUGUCAUCUACUCGUUGGGAGAGUCGAAUAGAUAGUGUUAAAGCUAUAAGAUUUCAGCUUUCGAACAUACGAGAAGCUUUACUGCAAGUAUCUGGUAUUGAUAAUGAUCCAAAAACUAGCAGUGAAGCUAAAUCUCUCGCGAAUAAUGAACUUGGUGAUUUUGAAUUUUUAGUAGCUAUUGUUAUUUGGUAUGACUGUAUGCCGUCAAUCUGGUCAGCAAGAACUUACAAUCAAAGGAUAUGCUUAUUGAUGUUGCUAUUGAGCAAGUGCAGGGGCUAA
Molecule: ribosomal RNA, 381 nt
Filed under: Triticum aestivum (bread wheat)
Lineage: Eukaryota; Viridiplantae; Streptophyta; Magnoliopsida; Poales; Poaceae
Description: partial small subunit ribosomal RNA
Source: RNAcentral